Molecule: long non-coding RNA, 415 nt
Filed under: Coturnix japonica (Japanese quail)
Lineage: Eukaryota; Metazoa; Chordata; Aves; Galliformes; Phasianidae
Description: lncRNA (ENSCJPG00005014675.1)
Source: RNAcentral
CUGACUUUGAAUGCACUUCAGUUCUUUCCUGCUGUUAUCAUCCUGCAAAAGCAAAAGGUUCUUUUAAAGACCAGAUUCUCACAGUGCAGCAUUGUCUAAUUUGAGAACAAGGUGCAACUGGCUCCCCCAUAGAGAAAUACCUCUCUGAUCUGCUCCUCACAGUGCCAAAGGAACUGUUUAGAGCAAAGGGCUGUGGACUGCUCAGCUGUGCUGACAUCCAAAAAGAUAAAACACAAGACAGGAGGUGACAAACUGACUGGCAAGAGCAGACACAUGGGACAAAAAGCAGUUAUGAUUCUUCAUCUGACAGUCAUCUAUGAAAUGAAAUUCAGCAAAGCUUUUAAGGAAAGUGAAAAUGAGUGAUGAAAAUGAGACCUUGCACAGUUAUCCACGUCCCCAGCACUGUGGAGAGCAC